RNAcentral lists this long non-coding RNA (1032 nucleotides) under Fukomys damarensis (Damara mole-rat). RNAcentral's name for it is "lncRNA (ENSFDAG00000024280.1)". Lineage: Eukaryota; Metazoa; Chordata; Mammalia; Rodentia; Bathyergidae. The record is from RNAcentral.
CUUUGUUCUGGAUUCCACUGUGAGGUGAUAAUGAGGUGCAGAAAACUAAUUAGAUCAUCAGACAGAGCUGUCUGGUUGCCAUCUGCUGAGGCUGGAGAGGGGAGUCCCUGGCUGAACCCAGACUAGGGACUAAAAAUAGCCACUUCCCUGUUCCUUGUCCCAUUUUUGCCUGGGCUAGUGGCUCUGGUCUCUCAGCUGGAUGGGAGGUCUCAAGAGCUGCUCAUAGCCCCCUGGGUUCUAUCAGUUUUCCCGUGGGGGUCACUCCUACCUCUCAUGGGAGAGCACUCUUAGUGGAUGCAUUUACAGGGAGUAGAGACGGCUGUGGGUCCAGGCAUGUUAUUCAUAUGGGCCGAGUCGUCAUGCCCCAGAGCACGUGUUAGGCAGUGUCUGCUGCUGGGAUGUGUCAUGAGCUCUUGGGCCAGCUUUGCAGGAAGAAACCUUGCUGUCCUAGGUUGUGAACAUGCUAAGACGAACUCACUAUUGUAUACCUCGUCCUCACCAGGAAGGCAAGAAGUUUCCAAAACAGGUCUUUUUCACCCUUUACUUAACAUCAGCCACAAAACCUCUUUGUUGUCAAAAAGUAACAUCUCUAAACUUGUCCGUGAUUGAAAAUAAGUGGAGAAGAAUCUAAACAGCAAUCACCAUGGAAACAGACAAGCACGAAACCAAAGGAAUGAACACAAACCAGCUGUCCAGAAGCAAUAUUAGAGGAGUUUCAGGCAUGGUCCUAAAUCUUUCAGACCUGAAUCCCUGAAUUUCUUCUUCUAUCUCUAUACACAUUUUCCCAGGAUACGUUAAAUGACAGUGUCACAUGACUAUCUAUUCUUUAUGUUUUAAUUUUUGGCUCCAUCCUGAGACACAUUUUUAUUUUUCGUUUUGAGACAGGGUCUUCCUAGGUGCUGUAGUCAGGGUUUUGGCAAGGGAAUACAUUUAAUACAGGACAAAUUAUUUAUAGGAUUAUUGUAUAAUAUUCACCCAAAAAGUCAAAGGUAGAGGAAUGCAAGAGAUUAGCCCCACACUAGGGACCCCGAG